Molecule: RNA transcript, 12181 nt
Organism: Loxodonta africana (African savanna elephant)
Lineage: Eukaryota; Metazoa; Chordata; Mammalia; Proboscidea; Elephantidae
Gene: ARHGAP15
Gene name: Rho GTPase activating protein 15
Exons: 15
Source: RefSeq, a predicted model, not a curated record
UCCAGUACAGAAAUUAAGUGGCAUCCGACAUAGGCCUUCUCUUACGACAUGUGACUUUACUGUUUUCCGUUUUUGUUGAAACAGUCAUUAACAGUUAGAAGUUGAUGGCAGUUUCAAUAACAAGUCAUCACUGAGAAAAGGAUAACACUUUAAUAUGCAGAAAUCUACAAAUUCUGAUAGCUCUGUGGAACCACUGAGUUCUACCUGCCAAGGCACAGGAGCAGUGCAAAUGAGAGUCAAAAAUGCCAACAGCCACCACGACAGACUGAGCCAAAGUAAAUCCAUGAUCCUCACUGAUACUGGGAAGCUCCCUGAACCCAUAUCCCGGCACAGAAGAAAUCUUUCACAGCAUGUCUUGAAAGAUAUCAUCCCUCCAUUGGAACAAUUGAUGGUUGAAAAAGAAGGCUAUCUUCAAAAAGCUAAAAUUGCAGAUGGAGGGAAGAAACUAAGGAAAAACUGGGCUACCACCUGGAUUGUUCUUUCUAGUCAAAAAAUUGAAUUUUACAAAGAAUCCAAGCAACAGGCUCUGUCUAAUAUGAAAACUGGACACAAACCAGAAAGUGUGGAUUUGUGUGGAGCACAAAUUGAAUGGGCCAAAGAAAAAUCAAGCAGAAAGAAUGUCUUUCAAAUCACAACAGUAUCAGGAAAUGAGUUCCUUCUACAGUCAGAUAUUGAAUUCAUCAUAUUGGAUUGGUUCCACGCUAUCAAAAAUGCAAUUGACAGAUUGCCAAAGGAUCCAUGCUGUCCGUCGAGAAACCUGGAAUUAUUCAAAAUCCAGAGAUCCUCCAGUACUGAAUUGCUAAGUCACUAUGAUGGUGAGAUAAAAGAACAGAAACCAGAGCACAGAAAAUCUUUAAUGUUCAGACUGCAUCAUAGUGCUUCUGAUACAAGCGACAAAAACCGAGUUAAAAGCAGAUUAAAGAAGUUUAUUACCCGGAGACCUUCCCUGAAAACUCUGCAGGAAAAAGGGCUUAUUAAAGAUCAGAUUUUUGGCUCCCAUCUGCACACAGUGUGUGAACGUGAAAAUUCCACAGUCCCGUGGUUUGUAAAGCAAUGCAUUGAAGCUGUAGAAAAAAGAGGUCUAGAUGUUGAUGGAAUAUAUCGAGUUAGUGGCAAUCUGGCAACAAUACAGAAGUUGAGAUUUAUCAUCAACCAAGAAGAGAAGCUGAAUUUGGACGACAGCCAGUGGGAGGACAUCCACGUUGUCACCGGAGCACUGAAGAUGUUUUUCCGGGAGCUGCCUGAGCCGCUCUUCCCUUACAGCUUCUUUGAGCGGUUUGUGGAGGCGAUCAUACCCCCAAGCUCGGUGUGUGAAGGGUGAACAUUUUCAUCUGGCUCCAAAUUUGAGAGAUCUGUUACCUUUUCAUGACAGUUAAAAAGGAUAGCAUUCGAAAUGAAGAAAUAAAACGUGGUAUUAUGGAAUGAAGAUGGGCCUUGGAGUCAGGCAAACUUGUGUUUGGAUUUGGGCCCUACCGCAUACUGUGAGGUACUAUUUGGCAACUGAAAACUCUCCACCCCUCAAUGUUCUCAUCUUUAAAACGGGUAUGUUAACUGGCUUACAGGAUUAUUAUAAGCGUUAGUAAGAUUAGAUAUAUAAGCUCCAGCAUGAGGCUGGCACUGUGAAAUGUUAAUUUCUCUUCUUCCCAAUAGUCAGAGUUGAUUUUAGGAGCAGAAGUUUAGCUUUUAAAUAUGAGUUGGAAUUGAUCCGUUGGCAAUGGGUUUUUUAGUGGUGCCCUGGUGGUGCAGUGGUUAAAGCACUCAGCUGCUAACCAAAAGGUCAGCAGUUUGAACCCACCAGCUGCUCUGGAGAAAGAUGAGGCAGUCUGCUCCCAUAAAGAUGACAGCCUUGGAAACCCUUGGGGGCAGUUCUGCUCUGCCUAUAAGGUCGACAUGCAUCACAACUGACUCAAUGGGUUUUUUUGUUUUGUUUUGUUUUGUUUUUUGACAUACCAUCACACUAAGUAAUAACCUGGUGGUAUACAAGACUUUAUAAACCUUUAAAAAAUCAUCAAGUUACUACCCAGUCUGAAAGAACUAAGUACAUAGACUGAAAACAUGAAUAAAUUUCUUUCUGCAUAUAUAAAUCACAAAUUUGAUUAUUUUUCCAUAUAGUCAUUCUCAUAGAGGUUGCCCCAGCUGGACAGGUGAAGCAGAAAGAAAGUUCAAGAAGGGAAUCAAGGCAACCAAAAGCACUCAGUAUUUAGUAUGGCUGUUUUCUGGGUUUAUUUCAGCAACUAGAGAACGUCAUUUGGUUUUCUUCUAGGAUCAAAAGACCAUUAGUCUCUGUGCAGUAUGUGGUUUUUCACUCACUACAGACCUCGUCUUUUAAGCAUGUUCUAAUUCUGAACUGAUUAAGUGCAGCUUGAUUUCUGGAUGCCAGUUGUUUAUAAGUUAUAAUAGUUUUCUUAGUUAUUGUGCAGAAUCCACAGUGAUGCUUACCGUGCACACAAGAUGAUGUCUUUGUCUGCAAAAGUCAUCCUCGACCACACUACCCACAUGCCUAGAGUACAAAGACACCACAAAUGGCUGAAAGUGUCAACAUAAAUAACUAUCAAUAAAUAUUAUGGAAUGUAGCAAAGCAUUUGGCUUGUAUCUUUCUAACCUAUCACAGCUAACUGUAUGGCUAUUAUUGUCACAAGGGACGCUCCCAGUUUAGCUGCAUACAGUAUUUAUAAAGUACCCAUCACCAUGGUAUCUAAACACUUGGGCAAUCUAAUUAGGCUGGUCCAAUUACUUGUGUAGAAGUAGGAGGGGUGUACUUCCUUAUAUACCAUUCCACUGGAACCAAUUUGAUUGUGUUUUUAAAAGCAAGAAAAGCCUUCUGUAAGAAUAGCUUUCUAGGCCCCUUGUUCCAAGAUUAAAAGACUGUCUGGGUAAAGGAAUGACUGCUUCCUAUUCCUGAAGGUGAUAAUGUUCGGAAUCAAGCAACUCUCCAGUGGUAGAAAGCACCACAGCCCAGAGAUCUUGAUUGAGAACAUUCUACUCCCUUUUCUUUUGAACUUCACUCUGGGGGCAGGUAACUGAAAAGUGGUUUCUAAAAGCAGUUCACCUGGAGGUGAAUUAUUUCUAAAGCCCUCCUUGGUGAGGAAGCUGCGUUCUCUCCUGGCCUAGCAAGUCAAAGAGAGAGUGCUUCUCCUCUCUAGGAGAUUUAACUAGGUCAGACCUGAAUUUAAACUUGAUAAUGAAGACCUCCCUUCGGACUUUUAUUUCUGACAGGCAAGGAGAAUUGAGGACGUAUUUUCUGUACUCUGUGUGUGUUAGCAUGUUUUCAUAAAGGAACAUAUCCAAAAUGGCAUCUCUCACAGUGUGUGUGGUAGAGGUGGGAGGAUAUUACCUGUUAACAUAAUAACCAAUAAAUGUUUUUAGAAUGUAAAGUUAAUCAAAGGUUUUUAAAAACUAUUUCUGUGCACUGCAGCAAACUGAAUACCAUGCUCAUAGAGAAAAAUCAUAUGUUGCUUAUACAUACCUCAGGACAAAAAGCACUUCUUCCUUUAUACUGUCAAGACUUCUCCCUGGAAUUUAGCAGUAAUUCAGAAGCCCACAGUUCUGAUGUGCUUGUGGUUCAAGACAUUCUUAUUGCAGUCCUUUGAUGGGUAAUCUCAACUUUCUAUUUGAAGCUGAACAUACAUGAUCCCAGUGAAACUCUUCAAGAACUCCCCAUAAAAUCAAGGAUAUACAGGUCACAGAGCACUACACAGCAUCAUUUGAGUUCACAAGAGAAAACCUGGUUCCCAGUAGCACUUCCCAGAGAGGAAGGAUGAAAGAAUAAUUAAAGUCAUAUAGGAAUAAAAUAUAAUUUCAAAACAGUAGUUGUCUCUCCUCUCUUCUUCCCUUAUGAAAGAAUGAAAAUUUUACUUGUCAGAAAUUGGAGUUGGUGACCAAGUUGCAGGUUCAAAUUUCAGACAGGCUUCAGCUCCAUGAGUUUAGACCUUAAAAUUUUGUUUAUAAUGAACAUUUAUUGAGCACUUAUCAUGUGCCAGGUACCAAUCUAAGCACACUAGAAGUGUCCGUUUAAACCUCACAUCAACCUUAGGAGGUAGGGACUAAGAUACAGAGAAUACAGAGAAUAAAAAUUGAGAUAUAAUAAAGUUGUCCUGCUGUUGUUAUUGUUGUUAGGUUCCAUCAAGUUGGUUCAGACUCAUAGCGACCCUAUGUACUACAAAAUGAAACACUGCCUGGUCCAGCGUCAUCCUCACAAUUGUUAAUCUUGAGCCCAUUGUUGCAGCCACUGUGUCAAUCCAUCACGUUGAGGGUCUUCCCGUUUUUUGCUGACUCUGUACUUUACCAAGCAUGACGUCCUCUCCAGGUACUGAUCCCUCCUGAUAACAUGUCCAAAGUAUGUAAGACAUAGUCUUGCCAUCCUUGCUUCUAAGGAGCCUUCUGGUUGUACCUCCUCCAAAGCAAAUUUGUUUGUCUUUUGGCAGUCCAUGGUAUAGUCAAUGUUCUUCGCCAGCACAAGUCAAAGGUGUCAGUUCUUCUUCAGUCUUCCUUAUUCAUUGUCCAGCUUUCGAGUGAAUAUGAUGCGAUUCAAAAUACUGUGGCUUAGGUCAGGCACACUUUAGUCUUCAAUGUGACAUCUUUGCUUUUCAACACUUUAAAGAGGUCUUUUGCAGCUGAUUUGCCCAAUGUAAUGGGUCUUUUGAUUUCUUGACUGUUUCCAUGGGUGUUGAUUGUGGAUCCAAGUAAAAUGAAAUCCUUGACAACUUCAGUCUCUUCUCCAUUUAUCAUGAUAUUGCUUAUUGGUCCAGUUGUGAGGAUUUUUGUUUUCUUUUUGUUGGAAUGUAAUCCAUACUGAACUCUGUGGUCUGUCUUAGUUUACUCAGUUGGCUAGUAGAAGAAUAAGCAUUCAAACCAGCAUUCAAAGUGGACAAACCAGAAUGCUAUUGUGUAUAGCGUGUGUAUAGCAUGCACACAUACCUGUGCAGCAUUCAGUGCACAUGUAGUGUGGUGCCAAAGGCAGCUUGCGUAGCCACUAUGCUGUAAAUGGCCUCUCCCAUGUCUCCCAUCUUGGAACACAGCCAGACAUGAAUCAAUUACCUACACUAGGAUGGAGCCCAGUGAGAAAACUCAGAACUAGUUCCUGGAACGUUAUAGGUUGAAUGAAUGAAUGUCUAAUGCCUAGAACAGUGCCUGGAACAUAGUAGGUGAAGGAAGGAAUGAAGAAUGGGAGAAAGAGAGGAAGGGAGAGAGGGAGGAAGGAAGAAGAAAAGGCAGGUAGAGAUGGAGAAAGGGAGGAGAGAAGGAAGAAAGAAAGGAAGGGCAGGAGGGAAGAAAGAAGGAAGGAAACUUCUUUGUCGUGAGUCAGACUUUGGAAGGACAAAUGAAAGCAUAGGUACCAUAUGGAAAUCUAAAAACGUAGUGAUAGCAACAGCCACAAUUUGUUGAUUACUAGCUCUGUGCCCACGACUAGGCUAAAUGCUUUCUGUAGUCAGUGUAACUUAAACAGCGUGAUGAGGCAAGUAUCACUCUCCCCAUUUUACAAAUAAGACUUGGAGGUGUUAAGUGACUUGCCCAAGGACAUACUACUAGUCAUCAACUUAACCUGUCGCACACUAACAGGCUUUAGUCCAGCAUGACUUCAGUCCCUAUGGGGAGACACGUUUCAGAUGGAGCAACAAUGGUAAAUCCAAAGUUAGGUUAUGUUUUACAAUCCAGGAUAACAGUUGUCUCAGGUAAGUUUGUAAGUCUGGGAAUAUGAGAUGGUUUCCAGACCUGAAACAGAGGGAAAGAGUCACCAAUAAAAAAAAGACCUGUUGCCGUCGAGUCGGUUCUGACUCGGAGCUGCUCCAUAAAUUGGUUAAUGUGAUCACCAACACAAGGGCUUAUGCAGAAGAGAACCAAGUGGAAGUCCAGUGCAUCAAACUGGAGUUAAGUUUAGGAUGAGACAAGCAGCAAAGUUGACUUGCUGUUCAGGCUGCAUAUGUAGGGCAUGUAGACCAAAGUUUGUUAAGCUCCCACCACUGCUCAGGGUCAGGGCAGACCUUGGACACUAGAGUUAUCGAUCCCACGUGUAGCAGUUAAGAGUCCCAUCCAGCAGACAGAAGAGACUUGAAAACUUGGGAAUAGGCUUCCGUGAUACUUCUGAAAGGUCCUCGAGCAACGUCCACCUCUGCCCUAACCUCAUUCCAGAUUCCUUUAUUUAUUUUUUUCUCUCAUAAUGCAAAUACCUCACCUUUUCUCUGUAUUUCUAGUGCCAUUGUGUUUCUUCUUGGUGUCAACAUAUCUUCUGUGUCACACCUAUUAUUCCUUUUAUUGGAAGGCAAGGUAGGCCAGAUGACAAAAUCUGCGAUUGAAGACUGUGGCGACUGAUGGUUCAGACUCUGCUUACAUUUGCCCCCUCACUUUGUCUUGCUGCCCGUGGGACCUGCAAACAGCCAGCGCAAAGGACACACAAGAUAAGGAUCCACAUGAGUGUGCUUCUGUCCAAACCCCAGUUCUCUCAUAGAAGCACAGCCCAAGUUCUGGGAUUUCAGCAGCCUGCACAGAAUAAGUAAUCUAACAGGUCACUAGAGCCCAGGGACCACUGUGAAAGUCCCAUUCUUUGUACUGUUCAGCUAGUGGUGGUGACCACAUCACCAAUCAAGUCCACCCUACCAGCAUAUAUAGAAUUUCUUUUUGUGCCACAGUUACAUCUGCCAAACUCAGGCAGCAGGACUGGCCCUAACCUAUUGAAGAAAUCUAUAGGGAGACUGAAUUGUAUAUACAAAACUGUUUCGUUUUGACAAUACGGAUAUAUUUUGAGAAAAAUAAUUGUUUUGCAUACCAGGAAACUCCAAACACAAACACACUAUCCCUGUUUAACCAGCAAGCAAACUGAGGCAGUACACUGAGUGAGUUAAUUGAGAUAUAACAUCCAGCCCAGGCCAAAGGAAACUAUUGGUAGAAACAACUGAAAAAGAAAUCUGAGGAACAUUCAUUUGUUCUUCUGGCUUUUGCUACACUGCCUCCUUUCUACAACUAUAUUUUCUCUGAGAACAAUGUGCUAAUGGCAUACCUACUGAGAAAAUGAUGUGUCAGAAAGCUAAAUAACAUAGCCUGUGUUAUUGGUUGAAUAAUAAUUAACCAUUGCUAUGAACAAUCUUCAUGCAAUAUAAUGUCAUGAAGAAGCAGCUUUAGGUUUGUUUUGAAGGGUGCUUUUGUUAAACUAUUAUUUUGGUUCAGUGGUUCAAGAAUUAGAUUUUAUUAACCAGUUUCUUUGUAUCAGUGGGAGAUUCGCUUCUAGGUUUCCAUGUCUGGUACUCGGAGCAUUUCCACUUGAGUGGCCAACUGAAAGAGUAGCUCUUUGGUGUCUGUCAUUAGCAAGGGCUCUUUUUGACACAUCAGAGCAGUCAGCUACAAUGUAUCAGUCCUUUAAUGACAAUAGAGAAGGAUUAUUGAUUUGACUAAAGAACUUCACCUUUAUGUAAUUUUAAAUGAGAUAAAGUUAGAGGGAUUCCUGGGGAAAUUUUGGGGUGACUAACCAAGUGACACAUUUAUAGGUACCAAGUGACACAUUUAUAGGUGUCCAAUUAAAGCAAUGUUGGGGGGAAAAUAGUCACCCAGUUACUUCAGUAAUGAUUUAUAGUUGGGUCAUUAUUAUUGAACAUGAAAAAGGGCAUAUAGCUGUGGCUUCAGUUUGUCUGGCAGGGGCGGGGAGUAUUUCCAUGAAAUCAGGAUGUCUGUCAUAUAUCCGAAUUGCUAUGUAAUCUUUAAGGAAUUACUUAUGCGGCAUACUCCUCAGCUGCCUUCUAACACUUUAUUUGGAACACUUUUUAUUUUCUUUAUAUUUUUCCUUAAAUAUAAAGAUCAUUAUUGCUCCCCUGCUCUGUGCAAGUUUCCAUGAUAGAAACUUUACAUAAGGUGUUAUGUAUACUGUAGACAAAUAGUGUGUACUGUGGUGCUGUGAAAAUCCCAUUACUAAUAAUUUUUAAUUAAUAUAACAUUAAUUAUAACUUAGAUCAUGCCAUACCUGCUGUAACAAAAAGAAUAUGUUACCUAAAUAAAGGAAGAUGAAUGUGGUUAUUUGGAACAGAUUGGCAGAUUUUCAUUGCAAGUGAGGUGUAGGUAAUUGAUAGAGAGAGUCACUUUGGGUCUGCAAGAACUAAAAAGUUCAGGAACAGUAUCAGACAGACUGACCUGAGGUUGACUCAGGGUAAAUUGAUAUUCUCAGAGCAGAAAAACUAGAUAUAUGAUGAAUAAAAUGAACAGAGUGGUUCACUGUUCAAAUAUGAGAAGACACCCUUGGGUUCAAUCAGAAUUGUGGAUAUAAGGAGCCUGAGUUGAGACAAAUACCUGUCUAUCUAUAUUAUUAACCAAAAACCAAACCAAACCCACUACCAUCGAGUCGAUUACAAUUCAUAGCAACCCUGUAGGACAGAGUAGAGCUGCCCCAUAGGGUUUCCAAGGGUGUAAUCUUUACAGAAGCAGACUGCACAUCUUUCUUCCAUGGAGCUGCUGGUGUGUUUGAACCACUGACAUUUCAGUUAACCAAGCACUUUAACCACUGCAUCACCAGGGCUCUUUAUUUUGAUUAAAAGACCUCACUAUAGAUAUGCAAUAGAUUUGAUAUUGGUUGAUUUCAAAACUUAGCAAAAAUAUGUACUUGUUUUAAAUUUGUUCAAAUGUGGCUAAGUUACACAUUCUUUAAAAGAAAACCAACUUAAAGAACAAAAAAUAUUAUUAUUCAUGCUUUUCAAUGUGCCAGCAUGGAAGGCAAAGGAAGAUAAUUUUUUUAAUAGUUUUAUUCUGUUAUGUUAAUAAAAACUAAAUGAAUCUGAUUGAAAAUUAAAUAAAAACUUUGUUACCAUUCUCUUAUCUCUUUAAUUGGUGACAUCAUGUGAAAGAGGCUCAACUCACCCCCACUGACUCAUGUAAGAAAAGGAAAUGCUGGACUGAGAAUGCAGAGAAAUACAUUUUUGAAAUUGAGCCUUCCUCCACUUGCCAUGAGUACUCUUUAAUGGGUCAGUUUGAGAAUGAGUUAAGUCUAUAUUCUAUGCUUUGUCUAAAGGAGAGAUAUACAAGGGCAAUAUAAAACACAUAAUUUAAAGUUGGUUGAAAUUCUGAUUUGAAUAAAUGAGCACAUCAAAAAGUUAUUGAGACACAACAAUCCAGCAUCCUUGUCCUUUCAACAAUUAGUGAAAAAAAAUUUUUUAAAUGUGUUAUAAGGAAAGUGUUUGCUGCUUCUCCAUAAUAGAGUAACUUGAAUGGACAUUUUUUUUCUACCCCAAACAACUAUACAAUUUAAGUCAUUGAAUAAUUAACACAAGGGAAUCGCAUAAGAUGAGUUCUAUAAUUGCUGUAGCUUUUUGUGUGGUUACACUUUGAUGCUGCAGCACAGAGAAGUGGGACCAAGAGAGAUCGUGGUCUUACUGAGUUGGAAAAGCAGAGGUAAAAUUUCAAGGCUGUUAAAUGGGCUGGAAUUUGUGUGGCAGAGUAUGAAAGAAGAGUGAGUUUUGCAGAAGGAGGUUCCAGAAGUCUGCAGGUGGAUUUAUUGCAUAUGUUUGCACAUGCAAAAGGCCUCUAUAAGACCUAGCAGAGAUAUCCUUGUAUAAGGCUGAGAGUUGAAGUGAGAUACCAGAGGUCUUAUAGUGUUGAGAGUCACUGGAAUUCCAGUCCAUCCAGAGAAGAAAGACCUCUAUGAGUAAUCUGGGCAUCCAAGUGAGAUAAGAAAGGUUGCACCUUAAUAGUAAUAACUAAGAAAUGGAUAAAGGCUAUGCCCUAGAAUUGAGUUAAAAGGUAAAACAAAUCCUCCCUAACAAAGAAUAAAAACCAAACCUGAUAACACCAAAAAAUAAAGCUGUCAGUAAAUUUAAUUGCCUGUUGUGAAAAAACUCUACACUUUAAAGAAAUGAAACAUAAUCCUGAUUCUUACAACAUAUCUUUCACAGUGAUACAAUAAAAUUUCUAGACAUGUGAAGAAGCAAAACACAGCCCGUAAUCAAGGAAAAAGCAGACAAUAGAAAUAGACCUUAUGAAGACCAAGAUAAUGAAGUUAGCAAACAAGGAUUUCAGAACAGUUAAAAAUACACUCAAAGACUUAAAGGAAAAGAUGGUCAUUUUGACUGGACACAUAGGUACUCUCAGCACAGAAAUAAAAUAAUAAAAAAAAUUCUAGAGCUGAAAAGUAUAAUACCAGAAAUUAAAAAAAGAAAAAUACUGAAUGUCUCAGGAAUGUAUAGGUGUCUGUAGAAUAAAAGGUUAGUGAGCUUGAAGACAUAAUAAUAGAUAUUAUCCAAUCAGAAGAACAGAGAGAAAAAAGGUUAAAAAAAAAAAAGAAUAUCAGCAACUUGUGGGACAAAAACUAAACAGUCUAACAUGCAUAUAACUGGACUCCCAAAAAUAAGCAGAGAAAAAGAAUGGGCUAGGAAAAAAAAAAUAAUAAUACUUAAAAGACCAAAAUUUCCCAAAUUUCAUGAAGAAAAAUUAACUUACAGAAGGAAGCUCAGCAACCACCAUGCAGAAUACGUAUCCAAGAGGUGAGGGGAAGAGGGCAUCUAGGAACACCAUAUUUAAAUUGAAAACCAAAGGUGAAAAAGAAAAAAUUUAAAAGUUUACAAAAAAGAUAAAUUGCAUAAAUGGAAAUUAUGUGAAUUAAGAUUGACUUCUAAUCAAAAACAAAGAAGAAAUAUCUUUAAAGUUCUGAAAGAAAAAACUAUCAACUCAGUGUCUUGCCAUUUCUAUUAAAAAUUGUACAGAAGUUCCUAGAGAGUACAAGAAAAGGAGGGAGAAAAAGGAGGGAAGGUAAAAGAAAGAAAAGAAAAAAUAUGAAAAAAAGGACUGGAAAAUUUUUUUCAGACACAAUUAUUUACAGAAAAUCUUAAGAAUCUACAAAAACACUACUGGAAAUAAUAAGCAAAUUUAUGAAGUUUGUAAAUAGGAUCAGGGUCAAUAAAGUAGUUGCGUAUCUGUAUAAUAAAAAAAAAAAAACCCAUUGCUGUCGAGUCUAUUCUGACUCAUAGUGACCCUGCAGGAUAGAGUAGAACUGCCCCCAUAGUGUUCCAAAGAGCACCUGGUGGAUUCGAACUGCCAGCCUUUUGGUUAGUAACUGUAGCUCUUAACCACUAUGACACCAGGGUUUCAAGCAUCAAAUAUUUGGAAAUUUUUUAUUUAGAAUUUAUAAUAGCAUCAAAAAAGGUAUGGAAUAAUUAGGAAUAGAUUUAUCAAAGCUCAUUUAAGAAUUACACAUCAAAGACUACAGAACACUACUGGGAGAAAUUUUAAAAGACCUAAAUAAAUGGAAAAAUACACCAUGUCAUGGGUUAAAAGACGCAAUAUUGGUAAGAUGUCAGAUCUCCCCAAGUUGAUCUAUAGAGUCAACACAAUCAAAUUUUCAACAAGUAUUUUUGUAGACAUUGACAAAUUGAUUCCAAAAUAAUAUGGAAAUGCAAACAACCUACAACAACAAAACAAUCUUGAAAAAGAAUCAGUGGGGAAACAAAAGUCUUUUCAACAAAAGAUACUGAGACAAUUGAAUAAGCUAAUUGAAAAAUAAAAUUUGACUUCCACCUCACCCAUACACAAAAUUAAUUUGAGAUGGGCCACAGAAUUAAAGGUAACAGCAAAGUCAAUUUAGCUUCUAGAAAAAGGAAUUAUAGAAUAUUUUUCAGAACUGGGAAGCAGCCAAAUAUUUUUUUAGAUAGGACAUGAAAAGAAAUAACCUUAAAGGGAAAAACUAGGUUUUAACAAACAUCUCUGUUAAGGAAAUGAAAAGGCAAGCCAUGGAUUUGGAAAAAGUAUUCAUAACAUACAUAUCUCACAAUGGCUUUGUAAUCUGCAUAUAAUAAAGAACUCCUACAAAUCAAUCAAUAGCAGACAAACAACCCAAUUUUAAAAAUGAGCAAAAAAAUUUAAACAGGCCUUCAUAAAAGAAUACACACUAAUGAUCAAUAGAUACAUGAAAAGGCGAAAGUUGCUUAACAUAAGCAGUCAUCAGGGAAUGCAAAUUAAAACCACGAUGAGGUACCAGUUUAUUCCCAUCAGAAUGGCUAAAAUUAAAAAGACUAAUAACAUCAAAUAUUGGUGAGAAUACUGAGCAACUGGAACUCUUGUACGUUUCUGGUGAGAGUAUAAAAUGGUACAAUAGUUUUGGGAAAUGUGUUUGGCUGUUUUUGAAAAUUUGACACAUUCCUAUCUAUGACCCCAAAAUCUCCUCUUAAGUAUAUACCCAAGUGUUAAAAAAAAAAAAAAAAAUUGCCAACAAAAA